AACAAAAGUAGACCUUGAAUUAGUGAAACCAUCAAAGAAUAAGUGCUUACCAAGGACUACGUAAUGGUUUAUUUCAUUAUAAGUUGUCCUCUUAAAAUCCUAAGAAAUUUGAUCACCAGCUCCAACAAUCUGAAAGUAUAUAUUUCAAAUACUAUACAAAACAGCUCUGCAAAAAUAAAAAAAAUCUGAUGUCAAAAGCCUUUGCGGCUUAAAUUUUUUGCUUCUACCAUUGCACACGCCGUCUCUCUGAAAUAGCAGGAGUGAAAUCACUCAUCUUCAUUUGAUGCCAACAUGGACCUUAAAAUUUGCCUGUAUUUUGUGGGGCUGUCAUACAUAGUCGGGGUAUUGAUAAUCGCCCUUUCCAACCAUAACUUGUCAACCUCCUUCUUUUCAGUCAGUCUCUGGUAGAACCUUUUCCACUUGUUCAUUACUCUUUUUAAACGAACACUCUUGCUUCCUCGCAAAAGAAACUUGAUGUAGUCUUUCACUAGACGAGUCAAUUCCUCCCCACUAAUAAUGUAAACAUACUGCAGUAAUUAACAUAUAACAAAAAAAAAAUGUUAAUACACAUGGCAAUUGAUACUAUUGCUGGACAACUAAAGCCAACAUAAUUCCUUCAAAAUUUUUCAGGUGAAGCUCAAUUUACUAGUAAGCAAUAUACACAGAUGUGAAAUUUAAUAUACGAGAUGAUCAUUGCAAACAUAAGACAAACUCCAUAGCCACAUGAUACAUGAAUCAACUGACUGGAGAUUUAGUAAUCAAGUUCCAUUCUGAAACAGGAAGAAAUUCAAAUUUCAUUCUGGUUAUCAGUAUAACAUAGGCAUAAUUUAAAAAAUGUAUCAUGUGGUUUGAUGAACCUUUUACAAAUUUUCUCUUCAAACAAUCAAGGAUACACUUAAGAACAUGCAAAAUAUUAGGAAGUGAAACAUAGUAUAGAGGUCAAUAACUAUCCAACACGUCAGAAGAGCUAGAAGGAAGAUAUUAUUACCAGAAAAAUAAAGCCAACGGUAGCUAAGACUACUUGCAGAGUUUCAUCCAUGAUUCCUGCAAAGCCUUCAUCAUCAGAUCCUUCAAAGCCAUCCCCACCACCACCACCACCACGAGGUGGAUUUUUCCCACUUCCUCCAUCAUAAAAUUCUUGUUUUUCAAUCUGCAGCCGUAACACAUCUUCUACUGACUUUCCCUUGAAACUUCCCAUGAACUUCUCAAAAGGAUUCCACGGAGAACCCUGAUACUCCAUUUCAAGAAAUAAAAUGUAAUUUAAAAGUAGGUAAAUUUGAAACUUUUUUUUUUUUGGGCUAAAGCAUUGCAAUGGAUCUAAUCCCUUCACAAUGUUCAUGACAUUGUCUAAGGCACCAAAUACCUCCAAUACUUAAUCCUGCCAUAUGGAAUGAGAUUAAAACUUUACUGGCAGCAAAAGUUAAGAUCAGUGGUUCAUUGCAACAGUCCUUUAGCUUGGUUGUUUAGUGAACCACAUCAGUAAUCUUUAGGCCCAACAUAUUUAUGAACCUUUCAGGUAGCAAGUCCCAAACUAGAAGAAAGACAUCUUGAAUUACAAAAGACAGCCAAUUCAAAACUUCCUCAUAAUUAGGGUCAUUCAUGAGUUAAUUCUGAUUGAUUUCAGAAGAAAUUCAAAUAAAAAAACCAAGAUUUUCCCCAAAAUACACUGGACUGAAUUUAAAAAUAAAAAAAAAGCCUGAAUUAAACAGAAAAUAUGCAGUUGGGUCUAGUCAACCUUUUGAAUUUUGGAUAACUUUCCAAUAUUAGCUUUGCACACAAACACACAUUUUUCAUAAUUAUAAAUUCAUUAUAGGUUAAUCUCAGAUAAGGCUAAGAUAAGAUUUGAAAACUGUCAUAUGGAGCUGAAAAACUUUGAAUUUGAAUGGUUUUAUAAAUUUUUACACUAAAUUGAACUGAAUAUAUAUUAAAACAAAAAUUGAUCCAAUGAGAGAAACUUCAUUAGAUCUUUUAGACAGAAAAGUUGGUGAACAAACCCUUAUAUUAAUUCAAAAUGAGAAUGAAAACCUCCCCUUUCACCUCUAUCUAUUUUAUUCCCAAUCACAGGGCUACUGAUGGAAAGAAAUAGCUAGAAAAGAUGUAUUCAAUAAUGUUCAGUACAUAAGGCUUGCUAAGUUGAGACCAAAAUAUGCUCCAUUAUCCAGAGAGUCAAUAAAAGGUUUCAAGAAGACAGUUAAAGGUCAUAACCUUAUAUCAAUUAUUGUCACAAAUUCAGUUAGAGGUCUUAACCUUAUAUCAUUAUAGUUGCAAAUUUACCAUUGAUCUGAUGAAUAACAAAGACAAAAUGUCACCUAUCCUUUUAACACCAAUCAUUAUUCAGUAGUAGGCAUACUGAAAAAUAUAAAAGGUCCGAGGAGAGAAUUCUUACCUCAUUGUCUCUUUCAGACUUGUCUUUGCCACCAAGCAAGCAAACAGGCGUCCCUUGCUGGUAUUUUGUUGCAGUUUCAUGUUGUCGGUGUUUCAAUACAAGUCCAUAUUGGGGGCACAUUGAAGCAAGUUUCACACACAUUGUAGGGAAACACUUAACACCAACUGGUAAGACACGGGGCAUUCGAGGUUGUUGGUGUGAUUGGGAUGUAUUUGAGACAUGGAAAAAAGGUCUGCAGGGACUUGCAUGAACACAAGUCACCAUCUAUCAAGGUGUCUGGUCACCCACACAUUAAUCUUCAAAACCCGGUAUAUUCUAAGCCGCCGGUUUCCCCGCCGGUCGACUCUCUUAUGUUUCUUAUGCGGAGAAGAUAGGGACGGACGAGGAUGGAAAGAGAGGAGGGGUAGACAUGUU
Molecule: unclassified non-coding RNA, 2800 nt
Filed under: Hevea brasiliensis (rubber tree)
Lineage: Eukaryota; Viridiplantae; Streptophyta; Magnoliopsida; Malpighiales; Euphorbiaceae
Source: RNAcentral